Daphnia pulicaria is the source of this 1029-nucleotide long non-coding RNA. RefSeq lists it as uncharacterized. The record is from RefSeq and is a predicted model, not a curated record. The transcript is spliced from 3 exons. Lineage: Eukaryota; Metazoa; Arthropoda; Branchiopoda; Diplostraca; Daphniidae.
ACUAGGACGACUACGUCUUCUACCAAAUCACCGAUAAAUUCUUUUCCGAAUAUUCCACGUGCGCCGUUUCCUUCAGUCACUUCGACAUCGACAAGAUAUUGGCAAAAGAUCAACUCAGCUACAGAUUUCGUUGAACAAAAGCCAGCAACACCUGCAGACACAAUAACAACCAAAACAACGACUAAGACUACGACGACAAAUCCUAUCACUUUGACAACUACAACACCACUAUAUGGGCAAACAACUCGACAAACGAACAAUUCAGCAGCAACAGAGUUCGGCGAACAAAUGCCAAAUGAAAGUAGCUUAGACAACCAGAUCCUGUGGAUUUCCUUGGGUGCGACUGCAACUGUUUUUACACUCACAGUUUUCUUCAUUAUAUUCUGUCAAAGGGCAAAAAUCGCGAAGUUUUUAAGAAAAAGUGAAAACCCCGACGUAGUGGACGAUGCAUUCUAUUACACAGAUGUAUCCAUGGGAAGACGCGAUAAUCAAUCUGAGAGUGAGACGUACGAAAACGUGACUCCAAAUUUGUUACUAAACGAACUCAACUACAUCGAAUUGGAAUUCAACGUCCAGAAAAAUUCAAACCCAGAAAAUGCAGCUGCUGAAAUUAAUUCUACGACCCUUAACCAAAAGCGCGAUAUAAAAGGCUACGUCGAUUCAGUCAUAUACGCCGAGCUAAGAAAGUGAUGAAAAUGCUGCUCGCCGAUUAUAUUAAUGCUCUUUAAUCCCAUUACAUUUCCCGACUCUUCUUCUUGUGACCAGAAAUGCAAAGAUCAGUAUAUUCAAUUAAUUCAAAUAAAAUAUCGAACGGAAAACAUUUGAUAAUACACAUCAAACGUGACGGAACAAAUCUUAUAGCCUAAACUCUAAAUCUCAAGAAUUUACCACAGAAUUUCUCGAAUUUCCUUUUCCGGAAAGUGUUAACGCUUUUCAAAUUCUCUAAGAACUCAUUUCUUAUCGGACGAAGGGGCGGGUUUACUAACUGAUGGAGAGUCGGGUAUCGCGACAAACCAAUUUUGAUAUGUA